GUCAAACGCCAGCUUGGCAGCCUAUCUGGAAAGCUGGUAGCACCGAGACAGAGUGAUUAUGAUGAUUGUUCUCAGCCUCCCUGGGAGGUCUCUCUUGUGCUUUUCUGAACAUUUGGAGCUUGUUUCACCUCUGUAUGUGCUGCUGAAGACGGAAAGGAAAGAGCAAUUUAUACAGUGAUUUCAAUGUGGAAUUGACUUCAGGCUUUACUGCUAUUUGUCACCAUUCAGGAAAUCCAUCCCUGGCUCUAGAAGAACACUCAGUCCCUGCUGACAGUCUGAAAGAGGGAGAGCAAAUAGAUAGCAGAGCUGCAGCUAUUAAGACCAACAGGCACAUACUUUAUUCCAACUCAAUUUUCCAUUCCCAAAUGCCUUUUGAAGAAAAUCUUUCUGUUGGAGAGAACAUGAAGGAAGGCUGUGGGUUGUACCAGCUCUUCCAGCCUCCCCACUUUCCGUGUACCUGUGACCAUGGCAGUACAGCCAGGAUUACAUCUAAAGUGAAGACAGAAAAACCAUGAUGAAGGCUUAUGCUAUUUUCAUGAUGGAUAUGAUGCUUAUGAUGCUCACAGAAAUGAAAAGGUGUUUGUCAUGCCA
Long non-coding RNA from Coturnix japonica (Japanese quail), 591 nucleotides. RefSeq lists it as uncharacterized. The record is from RefSeq and is a predicted model, not a curated record. NCBI's taxonomy places the organism in Eukaryota, Metazoa, Chordata, Aves, Galliformes, Phasianidae.